Molecule: long non-coding RNA, 4730 nt
Filed under: Sus scrofa (pig)
Lineage: Eukaryota; Metazoa; Chordata; Mammalia; Artiodactyla; Suidae
Description: lncRNA (ENSSSCG00045005162.1)
Source: RNAcentral
UUCUUUCUCUUUCUUUUCUCUCUCUCUCUCUCUCUCUCUCUCUUUCUUUCUUUCUUUUUUUUUAGGGCUGCAGAGUGGCAUAUGGAAGUUCCCAGGCCAGGGGUGGAAUCGGAGCUGCCAGCCUAUAUCACAGCCACAGCAACAGAGAAUCCAAGCAGUUUCUGUGACGUACACCACAGCUCACGGCAACACUGGAUCCUUAACCCACUGAGCAAGACCAGGGAGUGAACCUCAAUCCUCAUGGAUACUAGUAGGGUUUGUUUCUGCUGAGCCACAAUGGGAACUCCCUGUUUUUUCCUUUAAAAGGAAUUUAAAAGCAGUAUGUAAACCUUUGGCAAAUAUAUCGAGACCAUGAGAAAGAAAACACAUGUGGGCUCACUCUCUGACUACUAUGAAAUCAAACAUUACAUUUUCCUUCUCAGUAUUCUUCCAAGACUUUCACAUACAUUAUCACUUUGAGCCCCAUAUAGGAAACUUUCAUCAUGUUAACACACAAGAACUUUGAAACCCCCAAAGACAAGCUUGCUUAAGACUACAGAACUAGUCAAUGCUGAAGCCAGAGCUGGACUCUACGUUUCACCACAAUGCUGCUGCUCAUUGUUGAAUUUCACAUUUGCAGUUAGUCAAGAUCUGACAGUUGUUAGAGGCUAGUCCCCAGCAGCUUAACAUUCUCAAAGCCUCAGGUUCCUCUUCCCCAAUAUUUGAUAAAUAUUCCCAGUGUUUUAUGAACUUGUUAAAUUUUGUAUGUAAACAGGUGGGACAUUGCUAAAAUGUACCUAUUUCUAUACUGUAUAAAAAUGCUGGGCAUCCCUGAAAUAUUAUACCUAUAUUGCUUCCAGCGUCACAUUCAAAAGGUUGACUUUUAGCAUCUUCUAAGGCCUAACAUUCUCAUUCCCUAUGAUACAGCGAUUCCACUCCUAGGGGUUUUUUGGGGUUUUUUUGCUUUUUUUAGAGCCACACCCAGUGCAUAUGGAGGUUCCCAGGCUAGGGGUCCAUCGGAGCUACAGCUGCAGGGCUACGCCACAGCCACAGCAAUGCUGGAUCCAAGGCACAUCUUCGAACUACACCACAGCUCACUGCAACGCCGGAUGCUUAACACUGAGCAAGGAUCCGGUGUUACCGUGAGCUGUGGUGUAGGUUGCAGACGUAGCUCGGAUCCUGCAUUGCUGUGGCUCUGGCAUAGGCUGGUGGCUACAGCUCUGAUUAGACCCCUAGCCUGGGAACCUCCAUGUGCCACAAGAGCGGCCCAAGAAAUGACAAAAAGAAAAAAAAAAAAAAAAAAAGAUACCUUCUUAAAUACUCAGAGCACUACUCUUAAGAGUCCCAAACUAGGUCCUACCAAAUGUUCACAGGCAGUAAAAUUUGACAAAUUUGACAAACACUCUUUUUUUUUUUUCUUUUUUGCCCCCCCCCCCCCCGCCCCCGCAGCAUAUGGAGUUCCCAGGCCAGGGAUCAGAUCUGAGCCACAGUUGCAACCAAGGUGCAGCUGCAACCUAAGCUGCACCUGUGGUAACGCAGAAUUCUUAACCACUGUACCUGGCUGGAGAUCAAACCUGUGAACGCCAAUUAAUACUUUUUUUUAUGAUCACAAAAUGGAACACUAUUUAGCAGUGUUCAUGAGCAAUCUGCAUGCACACGACAAUAACAAUAUAUAAUAGCAAGCAGACGUUUAAAAAAGGCACACUGUAGGAUUCAUCAUAAAAUGCAGAGUUGGGAAAAAUUAGCUUGUUUUGUUGUAAUGAAGAGUUCCUUGGGGAAAGGGAAAGUACCUGGCAAAGGAAUUAGGUGACUUCUAGAGUGCUGAUGAUUAAAAGAAAUUUUCAGGGAGUUCCCGUCGUGGCUCAGUGGUUAAUGAACCCAACUAGUAACCAUGAGGUUGGGGUUCAAUCCCUGGCCUUGCUCAGAAGGUUAAGGAUCUGGUGUUGCUGUGGCUGUGGUGUGGGACAGCAGCUGUAGCUCUGAUUUGACCCCUAGCCUGGGAACCUCCAUAUGUCCUGGAUGUGGCCCUAAAAAGACAAAAGACAAAAGACAAAAAAAAAAAAAAAAGGAAAUUUUCACAUAAUUGAGAUACAAAAAGUCAUUCUGGUUUAUAUAUGAGUUAACUUGAAUUUUAUGCUAAAAUAGCCUGUCUGUGGUCUUUUAAACGCACAUUGUACACCUGCUUUAAUUAUUAGAGAAAAGGACAUACUGACCAGAAGUAAAACAAUGGCCAUGUUAAAAAUAAAGAUUAAUUUUUCCUGGGAUGCCAAUGCUGGUACUCCUUUGAUGACAAGAUGACAAGACUCCAUCCUUGGGUGCCAAGACCAAUACUGACUCACAUGUACUGGUGUGUAUUUUUUUUCUUUUUGAAUUGUUUAAGAAAUGUAAACAAUCUGUUAAAAGUUCUUUGUUCCCACAAGAUAUAAAACAAUGCUAAAAAUCCUGCUUCUCUGGAGCAGUUUCUCAGAGUGAUUUGGGAAGUUGGCUUCCGGGCUAAGUCCUCAGUUUGGCUCGAAGAAAACUUUUCUAUUCUUAUUUUAGACUGCUUACGGAUUCUUUUCCUUGACGCUGGUAGUGAUGCGUCUGGAACGCUAUGCUUCGUUACCCGAGUAUGUUCGAGCUGUGAAAUUCAUUUAACUGUACACUUAAGAUUUAUGCAUUUUUAUAUGUAUAACUCAUAUAUAUAAAGGUUUUUUCGUUUUUUGUUUUUUUGUUUUUUUAGGUUGUUCUUUUCCAAGGGAGGCUGGAAUUCUUGGAAUUUUGCCUAAAGCCAUUCAGCUCUGGUUCCACCAUGAAUCAAUACCCAACAAGUUUCACUUCAACAAAUGAGAGAGGACUGAGGUAGAGAAGAGGCGUUGGCGGGUGGGUUCUGAGCCAAACCCGGGCUGCAGGUCGCCCCAGUGCGCCCCGCCCCGCCCCUGGAGAACGACCUGGUGCUUUUACCUCAGAUCAGUCGCGAGCGCCGGGUCCCGAACCUGAAGGCCGAGGACGUUGCUGAGGCGGCUCAUCCUCCGACAGCUCCCGGACCAGGAGACGCCUGACCCCGAACGGUCUCCCAGGACGCGCCACGCAGCCCGGUACAAAAUUCAGCCGCCUGCACGUCCCCUCUCAAGGUCCAGACCGCUGCUGUAGGUGGUUGGGAUGGCAGCGACUGUGGUGCUGGAGCCUGCGGGUCGCUGUCGCUGGGACGAGCCGGUGCGCAUCGCUGUGCGCGGCCUGGCCCCAGAGCAGCCGGUCACGCUGCGCGCGUCCCUGCGCGACGAGAAGGGCGCGCUCUUCAGGGCCCACGCGCGCUACUGCGCCGACGCCGACGGCCAGCUGGACCUGGCGCGCGCACCCGCGCUGGGCGGCAGCUUCGUGGGGCUUGAGCCCAUGGGGCUCCUCUGGGCUCUGGAGCCCGAAAAGCCUUUUUGGCGGUUUGUGAAGCGGGACGUGCAGACGCCCUUCGCCGUGAAGCUGGAGGUGUUCGACGGCCACGAGCCCGAGCCUCAGGCGGAGCAGCUCCUGGGCGUGGCAGUGCACGAGCGCGACUUCCUGCCGCCCGGGGUUCGGCGGGAGCCGGUGCGCGCGGGCCGGGUGCGCGCCACGCUCUUCCUACCUCCAGGUGAGCCUGGGGUGCUUGGGGCGCGCUCAUGUGUUCCCUAGGCCCCGCGUGGUUUUGGAUACUGCUUCCCGGGGUGUUAGGCUCUGGAGCAUGAUCACGGAAGCAGGUCCUAACUAAAUCAGUUGCCUCACAGCAGCAAUAGAGGCUUUUGAUACGUUAGCCUCUGUGCUAUGCGUUUUGUUUGCAUUACCUCAUUUACUUUUUAUAAUAUCCCAAAGAAGUGGGCACUGUUAUGAAGAUAAGAAAAGACUGGAUUUGGGGCGGUAGAUUCACUUUGUUAUCAAUAACUACCCUACAGAUCUCUGCAGGUAUCAGCCAGUCGCUGCUGCACUAAAUGAUGAUGGCUAAGGAAUCUAUUGCUAUUAUCUCCCUAUGUAGUGUCCUGAUUAGAUUGGGCCCCUUAUUCACUUAUGUUCCUGUCUACCACAGAUCACUUUUCAGACUUCACUGCCUUCCUCACUUAAAGCCUUGUCUGGUAUUUCCUUUGCUUUAAGUAGUCACCUGAACCAAAAAUAACACCAAGAGUUGGUGCAACAUAAUAUAAAACUUUGUUUCAGGAUUGUAAUUUCUGUGUCCAACACUGAGAAUCAACACUGUCUAAAACGUGAAAUUCCUCCUUUUAUGAGGUAGUCAGUCCUUAGACUUAGAUGCUCUCACUUACAGAUUCAUAGGGAGUUACCCCUGUGGAGCAGCAGGUUAAAGAUCUGAUGGUGUCUCUGCAGUGCUUGGGUUGCAGCUGAGGCUUGAGCUCGAUAGCUAGCCUGGGAACUUACAAAUGCUGCAGGUGCAGCCCCCCCCCAAAAAAAAGAUUCUUAGGACCUUGGAGAUAAUUUCUUAUAAAUUCAUGUAGAGGAUAAACUCACUGAAGAGAAGGUAUCUUGUAGACAUCUGCCGCUCACCAUCACCCCCACACACAUAAGGAAUUUGUAUCCCUUUUCGGGAAUGACUUGGAGUUGUCUUUCCUUUGAUUCACAGGAUCCUACCAAAUAAUUUAGAAAGCUCUCUAAAAGGAAAGUGAAUUUUUUUUUUUUUUUUUGUCUUUUGUCUUUUGUCCUUUUAGGGCUGCACCCAUGGCAUAUGGAGGUUCCCAGGCUAGGGGUCUCAAAGAGCUGUUGCUGCUGGCCUAUACCAGAGCCACAGCAACGCC